AGAGUUUGAUCAUGGCUCAGGACGAACGCUGGCGGCGUGCUUAACACAUGCAAGUCGAACGGACGAGUGAGAUAAGUUUACUUAACUCACAAGUUAGUGGCGGACGGGUGAGUAACACGUGGAUAAUCUACCUGCAACACCGGGAUAACGCUGUGAAAACGGUGCUAAUACCGGAUACGUUCCCUUGUGCGCAUGUAUGAGGGAAGAAAGCUCAGGCGGUUGCAGAUGAGUCCGCGGCUGAUUAGCUAGUUGGUGAGGUAAAGGCUCACCAAGGCGAUGAUCAGUAGCCGGCCUGAGAGGGUGAACGGCCACACUGGGACUGAGACACGGCCCAGACUCCUACGGGAGGCAGCAGUGGGGAAUCUUCCGCAAUGGGCGCAAGCCUGACGGAGCAACGCCGCGUGGGUGAAGAAGGCCUUCGGGUUGUAAAGCCCUGUCUUAUGGGAAGAAGUCAGUGACGGUACCAUAGGAGGAAGCCACGGCUAACUACGUGCCAGCAGCCGCGGUAAUACGUAGGUGGCGAGCGUUGUCCGGAAUUACUGGGCGUAAAGGGCGCGCAGGCGGGUUUUUAAGUCAGAUGUGUAAUCUACAGGCUCAACCUGUAGUUUGGAUCUGAUACUGGAAAUCUUGAGUGCAGGAGAGGACAGUGGAAUUCCUAGUGUAGCGGCGAAAUGCGUAGAUAUUAGGAGGAACACCAGUGGCGAAGGCGGCUGUCUGGCCUGCAACUGACGCUGAGGCGCGAAAGCGUGGGUAGCGAACAGGAUUAGAUACCCUGGUAGUCCACGCCGUAAACGAUGGGUACUAGGUGUAGGAGGUAUCGACCCCUUCUGUGCCGGAGUUAACACAAUAAGUACCCCGCCUGGGGACUACGGCCGCAAGGCUAAAACUCAAAUGAAUUGACGG
RNAcentral lists this ribosomal RNA (903 nucleotides) under uncultured bacterium. RNAcentral's name for it is "bacterial SSU rRNA". It matches the Rfam family "Bacterial small subunit ribosomal RNA", at positions 8 to 916 of the family's 1533-position model. The record is from RNAcentral.